UGUGAGAGAUCAGACCUGGGCAGAUGUGAGUGCCCCAGGCCAUGGACAAGUUCACAGGCAGGAGAGACAGGGGUGUCCUAACUUGCCUUCAGAAAGACUCCAGGGUGAAAAAAGUUGGUGUCCUGCCUGCCUUUUCCUUGAUCCUGAACAAAACUGCCAGUCUUAACUUUUCAGUCCGGUUUGCCACACCCACAGGAGGUGGGAGGAGACGUGGAAGCACAAAUUUUCAUUAAAAGAAAAACCAAUUUUCUUUGGGAAUAACCUACCUCAAGGGGACCUGAAAGGGUCAGAGCACUGGUUCCAGUAUGAGCCAAGCUGAGACUGGAAAUCUUUAAAUUAAUCAAUUCUCCUAUUGAAGACUUUCCCAAAUUGGUAUUUAUCACUCAGAGCCUGUCAGGAAGUCUCUGUGAAUCUAGGGAGUGUGCCAGUAUGUUAUGGAUGAUAUUGUAAUUGUUCACUCCUGUCAGCAUUGUCUCUUUGUGUAGAGUUUGUACAUAAACAACUUGUGAGUGUUCAACCUUCAGCAUUAUUUCCUGUGUAUUAGUCACUGGUCAUGUGACUUAUUUUUCUUGAAAGGAGUGAAAAAACCAGGAAGAAACAUCUUAAGGAAACUCCCCAUGGAAGACAGAAGAACACUUUUUUUCCCUGAAUUCAUCUCAUCAUCACACAAAAUUUGGGAAAGGGCAGGUUGUGUGAACUGCAUGCAGGAGACAAAGUCAGCCCACCCAGCAUGGGGUGAGUGAGGUUAGGACUGGAUGUGCAAAUGGCAGAGCUGAUCAGAUAGCCCAGGAAAUUCCCUGGCCCUUCUCUCAGAGAAAUCAAAAUGAACCUUUCCCACCAUUCUCUGCUGCUGCUUUAUCAUCUCUGUCUUGUCUUGGCUCUGCAUUCUGGAACCUUAAAACCCAGCAUCAGGGACAGCCCUAAUGGUGUUUCCAAACUCUUUUUUUUUUGUUUUUUUACUUAGCAAUGGUGAAACAAAACCCUCUGACUGUGAGGCCUUUGGUGCAGCUGCCUUGUGUUGCUCAAGUUCUUGUUGAGUAGAAAUAACUGCAAACUGUUCACCAGUUCCACCCUGUCUUUUCCCUCUGUGCCCAUUAUAUAAGGCUGUUUUGAUAAGCCUGUGUGAUGAAAUCAUAUACACAUAUAGUACAAUAAUAAUAUCAACCUCAUAAUGACUAGGGAGAGGAUAAAAAAUGUCGGCUUUAUCAAAAAAAUGAUCUCUUUUAACAACAAAUUGUAACUAAUUAGACUUUGAAUGGGAAAUCAAAUGAAAGUGCAUGAAGGCUCAAUUUUCCAUACAGCUGACGUUCUGACCUUUUUAGGAGUGGAAAAGAAAAUUAUUUUUAAUUAACAUGACUAAUCAUUUCCUGUCAUUUUCAGAUAAUUGGCUUUGUCGAAAAAAAUGAGUUGUUUUGGGGGAAAACUGGGGAGGGUGACAGUGGCAGCUCUACUGGCAUGUUUAACCUUUUAGACUCUGCCUGCAAAAGGAAUUUUGAAUCCUUGUUAUCAUGGUGAAAAGGCUUUAUAUGGAAAUUUGGUGCCCUACGCCUCUUCCUUUCCAUAUGGCUGAUACAAAUUCAUGCAUAGGGAAAAAUCUGACACACUGCUAGACUUCUUUCACUUUGAAAUAGUCCCUUAUUUUAAAAAAGCAGAGAUGGUUAGCUAACAAACUGUUUUCUGGUACAUCUUGAGGCCAUGCACAUGAUCCGGGACUGAGGGUCAAAUCCUGGAGUCCUCAAUAAAUUCUGCUCCAGCAAGCUGGGAAUUUGGCUUGAGUGAGUGUAGCCAACUUUUAUUCUGACUGAACAACAAGCAACCAAGUGCUGUAAAGACUUUUUCAUUGUACCUGCUUGCUGGAAACGUGAAAAUGAAAAUCCUAGGAAAAUAGAAAUCCUAGGACAUGAGGUAUGAGCUCUUUUAAGCAGCACUGAAACCUGGUGUGUUGGAGGCUUUCCUAGGCAAUCGUUGUGAGGUUUUAAUGCACACUUCAAGGGACAGGCAGACUUGUUGGAGAGAGACCAAAGGAAAGCAGGAAGAUCAAAUGACUGAAACACGACCUGCAAGCAAAGACUGAACAGCCUGGGAUCGUUCAGCUAAGAGAAGAGAAAAUUCAGUGGGGAUCUUAAGUUUUGAAUAACAUUAAAAAGACACUCAGAAAGGCAGUAAUCUGUCCUUUGCUUUCACUUGGUUGGGUAAGUAGAAGCAAGAAUAAAUUGCAGGAAAGUCUCAGAAGAGAUAUUAGGAAAAACUUCCAAGUGAUGAAGAGAGCAGAGCACCAGGAACUCAGUAAAGUCCCUGCCUCUGGUAGUUUUAAAUGGGACAAACAUCUGUGAGGGAUGAUAGGAGGACAGUUCACCCUGCCUUGGGGCAGGGAAAUGCAUCUCCUGCUCUGCUGAAGUUCCUUUCAAAUGUGAUUCCCAUAAUUGUAUAGGGCAAACCAUUCCUGUUUAGUAUCAACAAGCGGGAUAAGACUCUAAAAUAAUGAGCAGGCUUUGAUACAGAACAAAGACAUGAGCAUGUAGAAGGUGAGCAGCAAUCAACAUUGGAUGUAAAUGCAGCCACCAGAAAAGAAACCCACAUGAAGCAACUGAGUCAAUACACACAGAACCUUUGUCCCAGCAAGCAGCUGUAGCCUGGUGCCUGCCUGUGCACUGCUCUGCUGGGUCAGCAUGCCCAGAAGUUUCUCAGGCUCUGGGGCUGUUACUGGUACAGCCAUAAAAUGGUCCCUGAUAUAAUUUGCUUGAUGUGGUGUUAUCUGACCAGUGUGGAUUGUGGGACCAGGCUGGUGGCAUUCACCCUGGUGUCUCUUGGAAUGACAGUGAUGGAGGCACUGACACAGAGAAGGAACAACCCAGCCUCUUACUCCUUUAUUCAGAAAAAAAGGAACUAAUUUCAUGGUUCUUUCACUCCACCCCUAUGAAAAAUAAACCCAGAAAAAUUUGGUUUAUAUUAAAUUUAUACUUCAUAUAAAAGAAAUAUCUGUGACUUUCAAUUUUUCCAACCCCCUUUUUCUCCCAUUGCCUCCACUUACAGAGCACUCCAGCUUCAGUAGGAUGGGGAACAAGCAGCAUAAAUUCCUAAACUAUAUAACAGCAGCAACUCCUGUCCUUUCGUCUUAUUUAACUGACAUAUUCCAUAGCUGAGAAAUCCCCUAUUUUGCUGAUAUCAAAACCAUGGAGUCAUUUCUAUGCAUGAAACAGAUCAGAACAAGUUCCACUAAUGACUAAGAGAUGUAUUUGGGAGUGGAGAAUUCUACAAAUUAGCAAUCAAACACAAUAAAAAAAUCAAAGGUACUGCAUUACAAAAUACACUUUGUUCAUUUAUUUUAACAAGUAUCACUUAUUUUCAAUUAUUUACAGUGCUAGUUAGUGUGCUCAUAAAGUACUGUGGCAUAUUGAGUUAAAAGUAAUGGAUUCUUAGUGCUGAGAAAUCUCAGCAGAGCACUGCUAUUAAACACUGGUAGGAAUGGAAAGGUAAUGUUAUGGUGAGCUGCUUUCUGGGCUUUUUGUGCUUGUUGUGGAACAAAUUUUGAUGGGGUGAAGAUAAUUGGGUCUGCAGAUUAAGGGAGUUAAGAAUUAGUUGAGUUCUCACCGUGAAGAGUUUUGUAAAUUCCCACAUCAAUCUUUAUGUCUUCCAGCUCAUCUCUCCCUUAACAAAUCCAGCAUUCAGGGCCUUAUCUCAGGGUGUCCUUUCCAGUCUGAAUUCUCUGGCUUUUUUCAGCUGCUCAUCAUUUAAAGACAGUUAUUUUUCUGGCAUUUCAUUUCCUGCUUUUUUCCUCCUCUUCUUGCAUCUUUUAUAGAUGGUGAUAAAUGUGAAUAACAAUGUGCCCAGUUUGAAAGACAGAGUGUAAAACCCAAUUCCAUUCGAUUUCUCUUUUAUUCUAACUUUAAGCCUCAGAUUUGCCCAUGUCUCACUCCCCUGGACCUGUCACCUAAAUUAAA
Passer domesticus (house sparrow) is the source of this 3941-nucleotide long non-coding RNA. RefSeq lists it as uncharacterized. The transcript has 2 exons. Lineage: Eukaryota; Metazoa; Chordata; Aves; Passeriformes; Passeridae. The record is from RefSeq and is a predicted model, not a curated record.